UGGGGAAUAUUGCACAAUGGGCGCAAGCCUGAUGCAGCCAUGCCGCGUGUGUGAAGAAGGCCUUCGGGUUGUAAAGCACUUUCAGCGAGGAGGAAGGUGGUGAGCUUAAUACGCUCAUCAAUUGACGUUACUCGCAGAAGAAGCACCGGCUAACUCCGUGCCAGCAGCCGCGGUAAUACGGAGGGUGCAAGCGUUAAUCGGAAUUACUGGGCGUAAAGCGCACGCAGGCGGUUUGUUAAGUCAGAUGUGAAAUCCCCGGGCUCAACCUGGGAACUGCAUUUGAAACUGGCAAGCUAGAGUCUCGUAGAGGGGGGUAGAAUUCCAGGUGUAGCGGUGAAAUGCGUAGAGAUCUGGAGGAAUACCGGUGGCGAAGGCGGCCCCCUGGACGAAGACUGACGCUCGGGUGCGAAAGCGUGGGGAGCAAAACAGGAUUAGAUACCCUGGUAGUCCACGCUGUAAACGAUGUCGAUUUUGGAGGUUGUGCCCCUUGAGGCGUGGCUUCCGGAGCUAACGCGUUAAAUCGACCGCCUGGGGAGUACGGCCGCAAGGUUAAAACUCAAAUGAAUUGCGGGGUCUA
Molecule: ribosomal RNA, 577 nt
Filed under: uncultured bacterium
Lineage: Bacteria
Description: partial 16S ribosomal RNA
Rfam family: Bacterial small subunit ribosomal RNA
Source: RNAcentral